RNAcentral lists this unclassified non-coding RNA (1268 nucleotides) under Hevea brasiliensis (rubber tree). The record is from RNAcentral. Lineage: Eukaryota; Viridiplantae; Streptophyta; Magnoliopsida; Malpighiales; Euphorbiaceae.
AUAAAAUCAAACUCAGAGCUCAAGCAAAUUUUUACCUAGAAAUGCAACAAUUCCACGAUCAGAGGAAGAAGGAGCCAUUGCUAGCUUCAUUUGAUCGGUGCACAAUUUCUCUUAUCUUGGAAUUGCUAGCUUAAUAAGUAUCCUAUCAAGUGAUCCUGGUUUGGUAACUCGUUUGGUAACUCAUGGAUAUUCCCAUUCAGACAAGCUUGUUGAAAUUAAAGCUUUUAAAGUUGAAGCUCAUAUUGAGGUUGGAAGUUUGACUGAGCCAGCCAAUUAAGUAACACGGCCGGCAUUGUUAUCCUUCUUAUUUGUUUAUGAACUACACUUCAAAAAAUGGCGUGUGUCACGAGUGCCCGACGACAGGAGUAAUUUAAUUUUUCCUAUUUUUGAAUCUGCUAUAUCCAAGAGGUUUCUGCUAUCAUAUUCAUUGUAUUUAAAAAAUUUUUAAUGCUUGCCGAGGGAUGUAAAGUAAUAUAUCCUCAUACCUAGUUAGAAGUAACAGGUAAAAUGGUUUCGGAUCUUUGAAGUGUAAAUUGCACAAAGCCUGAACUAUCUCUAUGCUGUUAAUUCGAUGGCCCUUUUGUUGUCUACUAUUUUUAAACGUUGAUGAGUUCCAUCUUGUUGGUUUACAUGAAUUAGAACCUCUCAGUUAAUAGACUUUGCUCAUCCAACCAAAGAACAUGGGCGCCUUUUUUUGGACUUUAAAGUUAAUAUACUUUGCAAGUGUUGCAGACUCUAUGCCAGUUCAAUCUCAUGCUAUGUCUUGUGGUUGAAGACUAAUUGUUCAUUAGCUGUUAUGAUUUCUAGCUUUCUUCUUCUUCUUCUCACUAAAACAAUAGCAACUUUCAAGAUUUGAUAUUUUUCCUAUUCCCCAGUCCCCAAUCUUUAAGCUUCUAUAUAUUUGGCUUCACUCUUUGCUAUCCUUUGUAUUAUGAUUGGCCAUUGAUGUUUUGUUGCUUUGCAAAGUUCCUCACUGUUGAAUAGCGUUAGAUAUGAAGAGCUGCAGGGCAUAUGCAAGGGGUUUGACCACCAUUGUCCUGAUUUCAGGAAUUGUAUAGGUGAUUAUUGUCUUUUAAUUACAAUUUUCUUUGUAAGAUUGAUCAAAGCCUUCUCAGAGAGCUUUCAUUUGUGAAUGGCCAUUUCACUUGUUGCUGCUUGGAAUAAUUGAUAACUGCAUUGUGCAGGGCAGAAUAAUCAUGCCCUCUUCAUGGUUCUUCUAGUUGGGUUUCUUAGUACUGAAGCUUCUUAUGUGAUGUGUUCAUUUCAGU